UGGGGAAUAUUGGACAAUGGGCGAAAGCCUGAUCCAGCAAUGCCGCGUGGGUGAAGAAGGCCUGCGGGUUGUAAAGCCCUUUCGUCUGGGAAGAAAAGCUUGGCGCUAAUACCGCUGAGUCUUGACGUUACCAGAAAAAGAAGCACCGGCUAACUCCGUGCCAGCAGCCGCGGUAAUACGGGGGGUGCAAGCGUUAAUCGGAAUUACUGGGCGUAAAGCGCGCGUAGGCGGUUGUGCGAGUCGGAUGUGAAAGCCCCGGGCUCAACCUGGGAAUUGCAUUCGAAACUGUACGGCUAGAGUCUGGGAGAGGGAAGUGGAAUUCCGGGUGUAGCGGUGAAAUGCGUAGAUAUCCGGAGGAACACCAGUGGCGAAGGCGACUUCCUGGCCUAAGACUGACGCUGAGGUGCGAAAGCGUGGGGAGCAAACAGG
Molecule: ribosomal RNA, 429 nt
Filed under: uncultured bacterium
Lineage: Bacteria
Description: bacterial SSU rRNA
Rfam family: Bacterial small subunit ribosomal RNA
Source: RNAcentral